GGAGAGGUGCCGGAGCGGUUGAACGGGACGGUCUCGAAAACCGUUAAGGGGGCAACUCCUUCGAGGGUUCGAAUCCCUCCCUCUCCG
Molecule: transfer RNA, 87 nt
Filed under: Ectothiorhodosinus mongolicus
Lineage: Bacteria; Pseudomonadati; Pseudomonadota; Gammaproteobacteria; Chromatiales; Ectothiorhodospiraceae
Rfam family: tRNA
About the family: Transfer RNA (tRNA) molecules are approximately 80 nucleotides in length. Their secondary structure includes four short double-helical elements and three loops (D, anti-codon, and T loops).
Source: Rfam by way of RNAcentral